This is a long non-coding RNA of Poecilia latipinna (sailfin molly), 401 nucleotides long. RefSeq lists it as uncharacterized. The record is from RefSeq and is a predicted model, not a curated record. Lineage: Eukaryota; Metazoa; Chordata; Actinopteri; Cyprinodontiformes; Poeciliidae. The transcript is spliced from 3 exons.
AAUGAGAAAGGAAGGAGAAGGCUACUGUCAGCUGUCUGGCGCUGUUGGAGAAAGCAAGAUGGACUUACUGUGACAGGUUCAUAUGGCUCUCCAUAGCAGAUAUGGUAAUGCAAGAUUAAGGAGAACUCUCUGGGCCAGGAUCCAAGAUUAUGCUGACAAGGCACUGGCUGCAUUUUAAAACUUGAAGUAUGUCAAAGAAAAGCUGCUUCCUCCUUGAGCAGCUACUGUCAAGGUGCCCUUCAGCAAGGCUUUGAUCCGACUCUUACACUGGCAGAUCGAAACAUCUUAACGAUACCAACUCAAAGAGGAGCUUCCACAGGAUUACAAAUGAAGAGUACCAGCUCUUCUUCAAAACCAUCAUCAUUUCUGUUAAGACAUGAGAUUUGGCACCUUUCUGAUCA